This 501-nucleotide ribosomal RNA is filed under the name uncultured archaeon. RNAcentral describes it as "bacterial SSU rRNA". It matches the Rfam family "Archaeal small subunit ribosomal RNA", at positions 352 to 859 of the family's 1478-position model. The record is from RNAcentral.
GCAAUACACGAAAGUGUGACGGGGUUACCCAAAGUGUUCAAUUUUGAACUGUGGCAGGUGAGUAAUGUCCCCUGCUAGAAAGGAGAGGGCAAGGCUGGUGCCAGCCGCCGCGGUAAAACCAGCUCUUCAAGUGGUCGGGAUAAUUAUUGGGCUUAAAGUGUCCGUAGCCGGUUUAGUAAGUUCCUGGUAAAAUCGGGUAGCUUAACUAUCCGUAUGCUAGGAAUACUGCUAUACUAGAGGGCGGGAGAGGUCUGAGGUACUACAGGGGUAGGGGUGAAAUCUUAUAAUCCUUGUAGGACCACCAGUGGCGAAGGCGUCAGACUGGAACGCGCCUGACGGUGAGGGACGAAAGCCAGGGGAGCGAACCGGAUUAGAUACCCGGGUAGUCCCAGCCGUAAACGAUGUUCGCUAGGUGUCAGGGACGGUGCGACCGUUUCUGGUGCCGUAGGGAAGCCGUGAAGCGAACCACCUGGGAAGUACGGCCGCAAGGCUGAAACUUAA